Molecule: ribosomal RNA, 506 nt
Filed under: Phocaeicola vulgatus
Lineage: Bacteria; Pseudomonadati; Bacteroidota; Bacteroidia; Bacteroidales; Bacteroidaceae
Description: Bacteroides vulgatus partial 23S ribosomal RNA
Rfam family: Bacterial large subunit ribosomal RNA
Source: RNAcentral
AAACGGACACACGUAGUCGGGAUGAAUAUUCUAAGGCGCUUGAGUGAUUCACGGUUAAGGAACUAGGCAAACUGACCCUGUAACUUCGGGAUAAAGGGUCCCUACCCUUUUAUGGGAGGGCGCAGAGAAUCGGUCCAGGCAACUGUUUAACAAAAACACAGGGCUGUGCCAAAUCGAAAGAUCCAGUAUACAGCCUGACACCUGCCCGGUGCUGGAAGGUUAAGAGGAGAUGUCAUCGAUAAGAGAAGCGUUGAAUUGAAGCCCCAGUAAACGGCGGCCGUAACUAUAACGGUCCUAAGGUAGCGAAAUUCCUUGUCGGGUAAGUUCCGACCUGCACGAAUGGUGUAAUGAUCUGGACGCUGUCUCAACCGUGAGCUCAGUGAAAUUGUAGUAUCGGUGAAGAUGCCGAUUACCCGCGAUGGGACGAAAAGACCCCGUGAACCUUUACUAUAGCUUAUCAUUGAAUCUGGGCACGUGAUGUGUAGGAUAGGUCGGAGGCUUUGAAG